This 313-nucleotide unclassified non-coding RNA is filed under the name Hevea brasiliensis (rubber tree). Lineage: Eukaryota; Viridiplantae; Streptophyta; Magnoliopsida; Malpighiales; Euphorbiaceae. The record is from RNAcentral.
GAAAACUGAUAAAGGACAUUAUUUGGAAGCUGGUGCUUUAUUACCUCAAAUGCUGAUGUGGUGGUUGUGGUCAUCAAGACAGUUACAUCAGGCCUCCUCUCUAUGCAGCAUUUAAUCACAGGAAUCGCACACAUUCCUUCACCAAGGGAGACAGCGUGGAACCAGAAGAGAGGGCCAGGGGGCCGAGAAAGAGAAGGGACUCCGAGACGCUCGCGCCAGCGGAGAGGAUGUUCCAGGCCACGGAAUUUGCGCCACCGCAGGUGCAGCUGAAUCAGCGGCGAUAAUCCAUAGGUUAGGGCUCUGUAAAUUUUGU